CGAGUGCAGCACAAAGCCGGAUCCUGUAGCUUGUUGUAUCGCUGAGUAGCUACUGACUAAAGGUCAGUUAGCAAGCCCACAUGCAUGUCUCCACGCCAGUGUCGUCGCCAUACAAAGGCUGCCGCUUUCGUGCCAGCGCUUGAUUUGUUUCCCCGAUAAGGCCAGUAUAAAUCAAUGUUUUUCUUAUUGCAGACGAUACCAACAGCCUAAAUCUGUUUCUCUUAUUGCCGACGAAGCUGAGGAACCCUUUCCCCCGCUAACAAGCGUGGUCUGUUUUGUGGUUUGGACUUCCAGUGUUGUCUAAAAGCAGACUGAAAGCGGUUACAGAUGCCGCCCGCUGCUUCGCUCAGCAGAUUCCAUCCACCGUGCCUGAACAGUGGACCUUGUUGAAAAGAUCACCAGGAGGAGUGACCUCAACGAUCAAUGUGACGGCCCCAUGCUGAUUUCAUGAGGACAUUUAUAACAUUCAGAAGGAUCACAAAGAGAUCUGUGGGAGGCCAUCCAGACAAACUUCUUUCCACUGAAAAAGGAAGAAGAGACUAGGAAUGAGAGGAAGAAUUGAAAGAGAGAGAGAAAGAGGGAGGGAGAAAGAGAGAGAGA
Gadus morhua (Atlantic cod) is the source of this 600-nucleotide long non-coding RNA. RefSeq lists it as uncharacterized. NCBI's taxonomy places the organism in Eukaryota, Metazoa, Chordata, Actinopteri, Gadiformes, Gadidae. The record is from RefSeq and is a predicted model, not a curated record. The transcript has 3 exons.